This 467-nucleotide ribosomal RNA is filed under the name uncultured bacterium. RNAcentral's name for it is "partial 16S ribosomal RNA". It matches the Rfam family "Bacterial small subunit ribosomal RNA", at positions 28 to 507 of the family's 1533-position model. The record is from RNAcentral.
GAUGAACGCUGGCGGCGUGCUUAACACAUGCAAGUCGAACGGAAAGGCCCAAGCUUGCUUGGGUACUCGAGUGGCGAACGGGUGAGUAACACGUGGGUGAUCUGCCCCGCACUUCGGGAUAAGCCUGGGAAACUGGGUCUAAUACCGGAUAGGACAGUGGUUUGGAUGCCAUUGUGGAAAGUUUUUUCGGUGUGGGAUGAGCUCGCGGCCUAUCAGCUUGUUGGUGGGGUAAUGGCCUACCAAGGCGUCGACGGGUAGCCGGCCUGAGAGGGUGUACGGCCACAUUGGGACUGAGAUACGGCCCAGACUCCUACGGGAGGCAGCAGUGGGGAAUAUUGCACAAUGGGCGCAAGCCUGAUGCAGCGACGCCGCGUGGGGGAUGACGGCCUUCGGGUUGUAAACUCCUUUCGCUAGGGACGAAGCGUCAUGUGACGGUACCUAGAGAAGAAGCACCGGCUAACUACGUG